Molecule: ribosomal RNA, 253 nt
Filed under: uncultured bacterium
Lineage: Bacteria
Description: partial 16S ribosomal RNA
Rfam family: Bacterial small subunit ribosomal RNA
Source: RNAcentral
UACGUAGGGUGCGAGCGUUGUCCGGAAUUAUUGGGCGUAAAGAGCUCGUAGGCGGUUUGUCGCGUCGACUGUGAAAACCCGAGGCUUAACCUCGGGCCUGCAGUCGAUACGGGCAAACUAGAGUUCGGUAGGGGAGACUGGAAUUCCUGGUGUAGCGGUGAAAUGCGCAGAUAUCAGGAGGAACACCGGUGGCGAAGGCGGGUCUCUGGGCCGAUACUGACGCUGAGGAGCGAAAGCGUGGGGAGCAAACAGG